GAAAUGCGAUAAGUAGUGUGAAUUGCAGAAUUCAGUGAAUCAUCGAAUCUUUGAACGCACAUUGCGCCCCAUGGUAUUCCGUGGGGCAUGCCUGUUCGAGCGUCAUUUACACCCCUCAAGCUCUGCUUGGUGUUGGGCGUCUGUCCUUCCUGCGGCCCUAGCGAUCGCAUGGACUCGCCCCAAAGGCAUUGGCAGCGGUCCUGCCGGGCCUCCUAAUCGCGCAGCACUGUUCGCGCCGCCUGGAGCCCCGCGCGGAUUUCAGCGUCCACGAAGCCCGACCUCUCCGAACUUGACCUCGAAUCAGGUAGGGAUACCCGCUGAACUUAA
Molecule: unclassified non-coding RNA, 327 nt
Filed under: uncultured Pleosporales
Lineage: Eukaryota; Fungi; Ascomycota; Dothideomycetes; Pleosporales
Description: sequence contains ITS1
Rfam family: 5.8S ribosomal RNA (bases 1-105)
Source: RNAcentral